Pelobates cultripes (western spadefoot toad) is the source of this 287-nucleotide non-coding RNA. The record is from the annotation of a GenBank genome assembly. NCBI's taxonomy places the organism in Eukaryota, Metazoa, Chordata, Amphibia, Anura, Pelobatidae.
CUCCAACAGUAACAAUUACUUCAGUGUUCCGUAAGCUGUAGAUGAUUGGGUUUACCAUUGGUAUUACCAUUGUAUAGAAAACAGAGACCACCUUGUUUUGCGAAUCAGAAUGACUGGAGGCUGGAGAAAGGUAUAUGAAGAAAACUGUCCCAUAAAACAAGAAAACACACGAAAGGUGGGAAGUGCAAGUCAAAAAAGCUUUUCGUCUGCCUUCCAUGGAUUGAAUCUUGAUAAUUGUAAAAGCAAUGUAGGUAUAGGAAGCCAAGAUAAUCAUAAUUGAAACAAAC